GUCGAGCGUGCCUGUGGCUUCGGCCACAAUAGGAAAGCGGCAGACGGCUGAGUAACGCGUGAGUAACUUGCCCUUUGGUGGGGUAUAGCCUCGAGAAAUUGAGGAUAAUCCCGCAUAAGAUCUUCAAGCCCUGGUUUGGAGAUGAAAGCCUUCGGGCGCCAGAGGAGAGGCUCGCGUCCUAUCAGGUAGUUGGUGGGGUAAAAGCUCACCAAGCCUAUGACGGGUAGCUGGUCUGAGAGGAUGACCAGCCAGAGGGGGACUGAGACACGGCCCCCACUCCUACGGGAGGCAGCAGCAGGGAAUCUUGGGCAAUGGGCGAAAGCCUGACCCAGCGACGUCGCGUGGGGGAAGAAGGCCCUUGGGCUGUAAACCCCUUUUCCAAGGGAAGAGAAAGGACGGUACCUUGGGAAUAAGCCCCGGCUAACUACGUGCCAGCAGCCGCGGUAAUACGUAGGGGGCGAGCGUUACCCGGAAUUACUGGGCGUAAAGAGCGCGUAGGCGGCCGAGUAAGUCACUUGUGAAAGCUCCCGGCUUAACUGGGAGAGGUCAAGUGAAACUGCUUGGCUGGAGGGCAGUAGAGGAAAGCGGAAUUCCCGGUGUAGCG
RNAcentral lists this ribosomal RNA (604 nucleotides) under uncultured bacterium. RNAcentral describes it as "bacterial SSU rRNA". It matches the Rfam family "Bacterial small subunit ribosomal RNA", at positions 61 to 680 of the family's 1533-position model. The record is from RNAcentral.